Molecule: ribosomal RNA, 159 nt
Filed under: uncultured bacterium
Lineage: Bacteria
Description: partial 16S ribosomal RNA
Rfam family: Bacterial small subunit ribosomal RNA
Source: RNAcentral
UGAGGAAUAUUGGUCAAUGGGCGGGAGCCUGAACCAGCCAAGUCGCGUGAAGGAAGAAGGUACUUAGUAUUGUAAACUUCUUUUUGUUCGGGGAACAAAGGCGGAGACGCGUCUCCGGAUGAGUGUACCCGAAGAAAAAGCAUCGGCUAACUCCGUGCC